Long non-coding RNA from Dermacentor andersoni, 391 nucleotides. RefSeq lists it as uncharacterized. Lineage: Eukaryota; Metazoa; Arthropoda; Arachnida; Ixodida; Ixodidae. The record is from RefSeq and is a predicted model, not a curated record.
UGCAGAAGGGACCAGACAGGUGGCCACCACUUUCUCCCACAGAGCAAAAAAUAUAUGCAAGAGGAGACAUUGGUGCCAGUACAACACUAAAGGAAAACAGGAAAUACCAAGAGAAGAAAAGGCAACAGGACAGGGAGGUCACUGGCUUCAAGUUAUUUUACUGCCUGAAAAAUACGCUCAUAGGUCAUGGGGCAACAGACGGAAGAGGAUGAAUCCUUGCACACGCAUGAAGCCACCCAUCAUACAUGUGUGGUAUACAAGCUUUGACACAGAUAAUCAAAUUCGUUUGUCAGCCUGACAGACACAGUGCUAACACAUUUGUCGGACUCUUUUUUGAUGCUACAGGAUUCAAGAAUAAAUAUGCAUUUUUCAUUGUUGCACCCUCUCAGCA